AAUCAUUGCCAAUCAUUGGGUUCGAACGAUUUUUCCCUGAUUCCCAGAAGCUUCUGCACUCAAUCCUCACCUUCAGCACACGCUCAUCCUCCAUUGUUGUGGGAGCUUCAUCAUUCGAAGCUCCACACGGCAGAGCUAAGCCACCACUUCAACCUCCUCUUCCACCUCGGUUCUUCAACCGCAUUCACUGUACCAACCUCCGAUCAUCCUCGUAGAAUCUUCAACCACCGUAACCGAUUCACGACACCUUCACCGUCAACAAUCAACAUCUCACCGGAAUCGCUCCAAGAAAGGAAGAAGAAGAAGAG
RNAcentral lists this long non-coding RNA (308 nucleotides) under Lathyrus oleraceus (garden pea). RNAcentral's name for it is "Pisum sativum (pea) long non-coding RNA (PSAT_LNC021147)". Lineage: Eukaryota; Viridiplantae; Streptophyta; Magnoliopsida; Fabales; Fabaceae. The record is from RNAcentral.